This 1162-nucleotide long non-coding RNA is filed under the name Gallus gallus (chicken). The record is from RNAcentral. Lineage: Eukaryota; Metazoa; Chordata; Aves; Galliformes; Phasianidae.
CAGAGAGACAGGGGUAGCAGUGUUUCUGAACUAAGUUACCAACAGCAGAGCACCUUUGCAAGGACGCUCGUGCUUGGCUAUCUCCUGCUUUUCCAGUGGAACAUUUUUUUCUUCACAUGAGAAUCAGUGGCAUCUCAAAGACACUUCAGAAGUUAUGUUACUUGGAGAUGGCAUCCAGAACAAGUUGUUCCAUCACCUUUCCAGGAACAGAUGUGAGACAUACUGGCCUGUAGUAUACUUGAUCCUCCUUGCCUUUUUUGAAGACUGGAAUGACAUUGGCUAUCCUCCCAUCUUCAGGCAACUGUAGUAUUUGCUAUGACCUUUCAAAGAUGAUAGAGAAUGGUUCAGUAAUCACCUCUGCCAGCUCCGUCAGCCCAUGAAGGAAAAGAGGUUUGUAGUUACUUGUUCCUGCUUGCGAAUUCAAACUUGUCAUUCCAUCAGCUUGAUUCCUGGGAGAAGAGGUGAAAUUGAGACAUUGCAACACAUCCUGGACAGAGGAAAAAAUCUACGAGGUGUUCCUUUAAAAAUGUUUUAUUUCCACUCAACAUGAAGAUCUGAACUGAAAAUCAACAGGCAUUGACAUCAACUGAGGAAAAUAUGACUUUGAUCACUUUUGAUACUAUAGAAACUCAAACACCUAGAGUCUGCAUACAAGGCACUCCACAAACAAAUUGUUGGUAGGUUUUUGUUUAUUUGUUUGUUUUCUGAUAGUAUGUAAAUCUCAUUUGCAAUACAGCUUUACGGUCAGAAAAAGAAAUUGAUAAAAUUUGGAAGGGCCACCAAGUGCAAUCCUGAGAAAAAUCAGGGCAGGUUGUUCAAAGAGCCUGCCUGCUGGUUAUAUACAGUGCAGUGUCCUCUUUUCUCCUGCUCUGUCUCACAUAAGACAUAUAGCAUUAUAUAGAAGCAAAUAGAUAGAAGGUAAAAUAAAAUUGGAACCUACUUGUCAAAAUUUUCUCAAUUUCCAGAGUGUGAUAGAAUUCAAUCUUUGGUUUGUUUAGUCAUGGGUGGAUUUUAAUUGCUGCUGUAGUCACUUUUUUUCAGUAUAUAGCUUAUCGCUAUGCCUUUAAUGCUUUUAUGAUAGUCAUCAUAAUUGUUGGAGAUAUCUUCAGAAGUAAUUUGCAUUCCACUGAGCUGGAAGUAUUCCAGAGUUUACAUUGUUUUG